This 253-nucleotide ribosomal RNA is filed under the name uncultured bacterium. Its description in RNAcentral is "partial 16S ribosomal RNA". It matches the Rfam family "Bacterial small subunit ribosomal RNA", at positions 524 to 776 of the family's 1533-position model. The record is from RNAcentral.
UACAGGGGGUGCAAGCGUUAUUCGGAUUUACUGGGCGUAAAGCGCGUGUAGGCGGUUUGGUAAGUCUGGUGUGAAAUCCCCGGACUCAAUUCGGGAAGUGCAUUGGAUACUGCCAAACUAGAGUACAGGAGAGGAGAGUGGAAUUCCUGGUGUAGAGGUGAAAUUCGUAGAUAUCAGGAGGAACAACAGAAGCGAAGGCGACUCUCUGGACUGUUACUGACGCUAAGGCGCGAAAGCGUGGGGAGCAAACAGG